Molecule: transfer RNA, 77 nt
Filed under: Alosa alosa (allis shad)
Lineage: Eukaryota; Metazoa; Chordata; Actinopteri; Clupeiformes; Clupeidae
Description: tRNA-OTHER
Source: RNAcentral
GCAGCCGUGGGCUACUGGUUAGGGCUUCGGAUUUGUAACCGGAUGGUUGCCGUUGGUUCGAACCCCGACCAGUAGGA